AGCCCAGUGGGAGAUUCGCACUCCCGUCAAUUGGUUACAAAACAAUUGCAUUAACUAACUAUGCUAACCGAGC
Non-coding RNA from Cladobotryum mycophilum, 73 nucleotides. The record is from the annotation of a GenBank genome assembly. NCBI's taxonomy places the organism in Eukaryota, Fungi, Ascomycota, Sordariomycetes, Hypocreales, Hypocreaceae.